This 872-nucleotide ribosomal RNA is filed under the name uncultured archaeon. RNAcentral's name for it is "bacterial SSU rRNA". It matches the Rfam family "Archaeal small subunit ribosomal RNA", at positions 1 to 879 of the family's 1478-position model. The record is from RNAcentral.
UUCCGGUUGAUCCUGCCGGAGGCCACUGCUAUUGGGAUCCGACUAAGCCAUGCGAGUCGAGAGGGUUCGGCCCUCGGCAGACUGCUCAGUAACACGUGGAUAAUCUACCCUUAGGUGGAGGAUACUCUCGGGAAACUGAGAAUAAUACUCCAUAGGUCUAGGAUGCUGGAAUGCACCUAGGUUGAAAGUUCCGGCGCCUAAGGACGAGUCUGCGGACUAUCAGGUAGUAGUCAGGGUAAAGACCUGACUAGCCUACGACGGAUACGGGUUGUGAGAGCAAUAGCCCGGAGACGAUAUCUGAGACACGAUAUCGGGCCCUACGGGGCGCAGCAGGCGCGAAAUCUUCACAAUGUGCGAAAGCACGAUGAGGGGAUCCCAAGUGUUGGUUCGUAAGAGUCAUCUGUUUCUUUGUCUAAAAAACAGAGAGAGUAAGAGCUGGGUAAGACGGGUGCCAGCCGCCGCGGUAAUACCUGCAGCUCAAGUGGUGGCCGCUAUUAUUGGGCCUAAAACGUCCGUAGCCGGUUUAGUAAAUGCCUGGGUAAAUUGUGUAGCUCAACUAUACGAAUACCGGGUAGACUGCUAAACUUGGAACCGGGAGAGGCUAGAGGUACUCCUAGGGUAGAGGUGAAAUUCUGUAAUCCUAGGGGGACCACCAGUGGCGAAGGCGUCUAGCCAGAACGGGUUUGACGGUGAGGGACGAAGCCCUGGGGCGCAAACCGGAUUAGAUACCCGGGUAGUCCAGGGUGUAAACGCUGCUCGCUUGAUGUUAGUCGGGCUCCGAGCCCGACUAGUGUCGGAGAGAAGUUGUUAAGCGAGCUGCCUGGGAAGUACGGUCGCAAGGCUGAAACUUAAAGGAAUUGGCGGGGGAGCAC